AAGUCGAACGAAGAUGCGUGUUUGAUCCCCUUCGGGGUGACGAUGCGCAGACUUAGUGGCGGACGGGUGAGUAAUGUAUGAGCAACCUGCCUUCAAGAGGGGAAUAACAGUCGGAAACGACUGCUAAUACCGCAUAAUAAAGCGUGAUCGCAUGAUCGUGUUUUCAAAGGAGCAAUCCGCUUGAAGAUGGGCUCAUAUCUGAUUAGAUAGUUGGUGAGGUAACGGCUCACCAAGUCUGCGAUCAGUAGCCGGACUGAGAGGUUGAACGGCCACAUUGGAACUGAGAUACGGUCCAGACUCCACGGGAGGCAGCAGUGGGGAAUAUUGGGCAAUGGGCGAAAGCCUGACCCAGCAACGCCGCGUGAAGGAAGAAGGCCCUCGGGUUGUAAACUUCUUUUACCAGGGACGAAGGACGUGACGGUACCUGGAGAAAAAGCAACGGCUAACUACGUGCCAGCAGCCGCGGUAAUACGUAGGUUGCAAGCGUUGUCCGGAUUUACUGGGUGUAAAGGGCGUGUAGGCGGAGCUGCAAGUCAGAUGUGAAAUCCUGGGGCUUAACCCCGGAACUGCAUUUGAAACUGUAGCCCUUGAGUAUCGGAGAGGCAAGCGGAAUUCCUAGUGUAGCGGUGAAAUGCGUAGAUAUUCGGAGGAACACCAGUGGCGAAGGCGGCCUGCUGGGCUUUAACUGACGCUGAGGCUCGAAAGUGUGGGGAGCAAACAGGAUUA
This 726-nucleotide ribosomal RNA is filed under the name uncultured bacterium. Its description in RNAcentral is "bacterial SSU rRNA". It matches the Rfam family "Bacterial small subunit ribosomal RNA", at positions 59 to 780 of the family's 1533-position model. The record is from RNAcentral.